CCUACGGGUGGCUGCAGUCGAGAAUCAUUCACAAUGGGGGAAACCCUGAUGGUGCGACGCCGCGUGGGGGAAUGAAGGUCUCCGGAUUGUAAACCCCUGUCAUGUGGGAGCAAAUUAAAAAGAUAGUACCACAAGAGGAAGAGACGGCUAACUCUGUGCCAGCAGCCGCGGUAAUACAGAGGUCUCAAGCGUUGUUCGGAAUCACUGGGCGUAAAGCGUGCGUAGGCUGUUUCGUAAGUCGUGUGUGAAAGGCGCGGGCUCAACCCGCGGACGGCACAUGAUACUGCGAGACUAGAGUAAGGGAGGGGGAACCGGAAUUCUCGGUGUAGCAGUGAAAUGCGUAGAUAUCGAGAGGAACACUCGUGGCGAAGGCGGGUUCCUGGACAUUAACUGACGCUGAGGCACGAAGGCCAGGGGAGCGAAAGGGAUUAGAUACCCGAGUAGUC
This 446-nucleotide ribosomal RNA is filed under the name uncultured bacterium. RNAcentral's name for it is "partial 16S ribosomal RNA". It matches the Rfam family "Bacterial small subunit ribosomal RNA", at positions 338 to 795 of the family's 1533-position model. The record is from RNAcentral.